This 1501-nucleotide ribosomal RNA is filed under the name Lactococcus lactis. RNAcentral describes it as "bacterial SSU rRNA". It matches the Rfam family "Bacterial small subunit ribosomal RNA". The record is from RNAcentral. Lineage: Bacteria; Bacillati; Bacillota; Bacilli; Lactobacillales; Streptococcaceae.
UCCGCUUCAAUCUCUUCAGUUUGUCAUAUUGUUGAGCGCUGAAGGUUGGUACUUGUACGGACUGGAUGAGCAGCGACGGGUGAGUAAUGCGAGGGGAAUCUGCCUUUGAGCGGGGGAGGCAUUUGGAAACUUAUGCUAAUACCGCAUAUAAACUUUAAACACAAGUUUUAAGUUUGAAAGAUGCUAUUGCAUCACUCAAAGAUGAACCCGCGUUGUAUUAGCUAAUUGGUGAGGUAAAGGCUCACCAUGGCGAUGAUACGUAACCGACCUGAGAGGGUGAUCGGCCACAUUGGGACUGAAACACGGCCCAAACUCCUACGGGAGGCUUUUGUACGGAAUCUUCAGCAAUGGACCAAAGUCUGCACCGAGCAACGCCGCGUGAGUGAAGAAGGUUAUCGGAUCGUAAAACUCUGUUGGUACAGAAGAACGUUGGCGAGAGUGGAAGAGCUCAUCAAGUGACGGUACUACCCAUAAAGGGACGGCUAACUACGUGCCAGCACGCCGCGGUGAAUACGUAUGUCCGAGCGUUGUCCGGAUUUAUUGGGCGUAAAGCGAGCGCAGGUGGUUUAUUAAGUCUGGUGUAAAAGGCAGUGGCUCAGACCAUUUGGACUGCAUUGGCAUACUGUUAGACUUGAGUGCAGGAGAGGAGAGUGGAAUUCCAUGUGUAGCGGUGAAAUGCGUAGAUAUAUGGAGGAACACCGGUGGCGAAAGCGGCUCUCUGGCCUGUAACUGACACUGAGGCUCGAAAGCGUGGGGAGCAAACAGGAUUAGAUACCCUGGUAGUCCACGCCGUAAAUGAUGAGUGUUAGAUGUAGGGAGCUAUAACUUCUCUGUAUCGCAGCUAACGCAAUAAGCACUCCGCCUCGGGAGUACGACCGCAAGGUUGAAACUCAAAGGAAUUGACGGGGGCCCGCACAAGCGGUGGAGCAUGUGGUUUAAUUAGAAGCAACGCGAAGAACCUUACCAGGUCUUGACAUCAUCGUGCUAUUCCUAGAGAUAGGAAGUUCCUUCGGGACACGGGAUACAGGUGGUGCAUGGUUGUCGUCAGCUCGUGUCGUGAGAUGUUGGGUUAAGUCCCGCAACGAGCGCAACCCCUAUUGUUAGUUGCCAUCAUUAAGUUGGGCACUCUAACGAGACUGCCGGUGAUAAACCGGAGGAAGGUGGGGAUGACGUCAAAUCAUCAUGCCCCUUAUGACCUGGGCUACACACGUCAUACAAUGGAUGGUACAACGAGUCGCGAGACAGUGAUGUUUAGCUAAUCUCUUAAAACCAUUCUCAGUUCGGAUUGUAGUCUGCAACUCGCGUACAUGAAGUCGGAAUCGCUAGUAAUCGCGGAUCAGCACGCCGCGGUGAAUACGUUCCCGGGCCUUGUACACACCGCCCGUCACACCACGGGAGUUGGGAGUACCCGAAGUAGGUAGCCUAACCGCAAGGAGGGCGCUUCCUAAGGUAAGACCGAUGACUGUAGGUAGACGCAAAAAGGCAUGCAUACCAGCGUACU